AUAAAUUACAGGAGCUUUAUUUUAUAUAUUUAUAUGAAACGAAUGUAUUUUUAUAUGUGGUUUUAUUUAUUGAUAUGAAAUAAAGUGGAGUAAAAAGUACAAUAUUUCCCUCUGAAAUUAAGUAAUAAAUGGUAUAAAGUGAAAACAUUAAAGUAGAAUGUUAGACCCUCAAAACUGUGAAGUACUUGAUGAAGUGUUGAUCGUGCAUUAAUCAGUGUUUCCACUGUGGCAGACAAAAAGCAUAAAGCCAGUUUUCCUCACCUCCCGCCCACUCAGCUGAUUCACACCAGACGCAGCCUCUGCUGCUCAGAACUAAUGUCGACACAUAACAAAGUAUUUAGUCUGUUGUGCAUCGGGUCGACACACAGGACUGAGAGGGGAAUGAAACACACAGCAGCUUCUCAUCCUGAGAGAAAACCAUGAUGAAGCUGGUUCCUGAUUAACUUCACUGUUUCUCCGCUGGACACAUCCCAGAACCAUGAGGUUGAAACCCACAGAAAAAAUCAACAGCUCCAGAAAGCACAGCUAACCAAGAUGCAGGCUGUGUCAGCACUGGUGGGGCCCCGUAGGCAAGAUGGCGGCGACAGCAGAGCCAACUUCACUGUACCAGGAAGAGAGGGUCGCGGACAUGGCCAUGGCCAUGGCCGUGGCCGUGGGCGAGGCUUCCCUCGACGCCUCCCACUGGGCAGAGAUGAGUGUUUCAUCUGCAGACAGAAAGGACAUUGGGCAAGGGACUUCGCCCAGCGGCAAGAG
Long non-coding RNA from Hippoglossus stenolepis (Pacific halibut), 753 nucleotides. RefSeq lists it as uncharacterized. The transcript is spliced from 3 exons. Lineage: Eukaryota; Metazoa; Chordata; Actinopteri; Pleuronectiformes; Pleuronectidae. The record is from RefSeq and is a predicted model, not a curated record.